This 217-nucleotide ribosomal RNA is filed under the name uncultured actinomycete. Its description in RNAcentral is "partial 16S ribosomal RNA". It matches the Rfam family "Bacterial small subunit ribosomal RNA", at positions 327 to 567 of the family's 1533-position model. The record is from RNAcentral. Lineage: Bacteria; Bacillati; Actinomycetota; Actinomycetes; Actinomycetales.
CGGCCCAGACUCCUACGGGAGGCAGCAGUGGGGAAUAUUGGACAUGCGCGCAGCUGAUGCAGCCAUGCCGCGUGAGUGAUGACGGCCUUAGGGUUGUAAAGCUCUUUCCCGAUGACGAAGUGACUUAUGUCGGAGAAAAGGCCCGGCUAACUUCGUGCCAGCAGCCGCGGUAAUACGAAGGGGGCUAGCGUUGUUCGGAAUUACUGGGCGUAAAGCG